UGUAAAUCGGUUAAAAGGUGUGUGUAAU
RNAcentral lists this non-coding RNA (28 nucleotides) under Bombyx mori (domestic silkworm). Lineage: Eukaryota; Metazoa; Arthropoda; Insecta; Lepidoptera; Bombycidae. The record is from RNAcentral.